This 497-nucleotide ribosomal RNA is filed under the name uncultured bacterium. RNAcentral describes it as "partial 16S ribosomal RNA". It matches the Rfam family "Bacterial small subunit ribosomal RNA", at positions 28 to 507 of the family's 1533-position model. The record is from RNAcentral.
GAUGAACGCUGGCGGCGUGCCUAAUACAUGCAAGUCGAGCGAACAGACGAGGAGCUUGCUCCUCUGACGUUAGCGGCGGACGGGUGAGUAACACGUGGAUAACCUACCUAUAAGACUGGGAUAACUUCGGGAAACCGGAGCUAAUACCGGAUAAUAUAUUGAACCGCAUGGUUCAAUAGUGAAAGACGGGUUUGCUGUCACUUAUAGAUGGAUCCGCGCCGCAUUAGCUAGUUGGUAAGGUAACGGCUUACCAAGGCAACGAUGCGUAGCCGACCUGAGAGGGUGAUCGGCCACACUGGAACUGAGACACGGUCCAGACUCCUACGGGAGGCAGCAGUAGGGAAUCUUCCGCAAUGGGCGAAAGCCUGACGGAGCAACGCCGCGUGAGUGAUGAAGGUCUUCGGAUUGUAAAACUCUGUUAUUAGGGAAGAACAAAUGUGUAAGUAACUAUGCACGUCUUGACGGUACCUAAUCAGAAAGCCACGGCUAACUACGUG